GACGAACGCUGGCGGCGUGCUUAACACAUGCAAGUCGAACGGAAAGGCCCCUUUGGGGGUACUCGAGUGGCGAACGGGUGAGUAACACGUGAGUAACCAGCCCUUGACUUCGGGAUAACUUCAGGAAACUGGGGCUAAUACCGGAUAGGAAUCCUUGCUGCAUGGUGGGGGUUGGAAAGCUUCGGCGGUUUUGGAUGGACUCGCGGCUUAUCAGCUUGUUGGUGGGGUAGUGGCUUACCAAGGCUUUGACGGGUAGCCGGCCUGAGAGGGCGACCGGCCACAUUGGGACUGAGAUACGGCCCAGACUCCUACGGGAGGCAGCAGUGGGGAAUAUUGCACAAUGGGCGGAAGCCUGAUGCAGCAACGCCGCGUGCGGGAUGACGGCCUUCGGGUUGUAAACCGCUUUCAGCAGGGGCGAAGCUUGUGGUGACGGUACCUGCAGAAGAAGCACCGGCUAACUACGUG
Molecule: ribosomal RNA, 465 nt
Filed under: uncultured bacterium
Lineage: Bacteria
Description: partial 16S ribosomal RNA
Rfam family: Bacterial small subunit ribosomal RNA
Source: RNAcentral